AUGACAGGGACUCUCUUUCCAAGAAAUUACACUGUGUUCAAUUCUCUCCCAUCAAGAGCAGGCAAUGUUCCGGAUCCGGCCAUUGUCGUGUCUGCCGAAAAACCACAUCUGGUUCACCACCGCCUCAACAGAUACACAAUGAAAUACAAAGGCCAAUUCUGCGGUGUACACAAUCCGUGUCAGUUUACCCAGAGGAUUCCAGAUGGAAUGAACUCCGCAGACGGGGUUCACGGAGCGCAGGCGAUGCUGGGGGAGGAGCCCUCAUUGUCUCCCUUGGAAAUCGUAAGGGGAAUAUUGGUGCUGGGAGGACAUCUCGCGCUGCAGCGGUGGAGGCGGAGGCGUUUUACACGUUGUUAAGGUAGGAGUGACGGCAUCUGUAUUUAAACCUAAUAGAAAAUAUCAGCCACCGUUUCUUGAAUGUCUGCUCUAGGCCAGAGGCCGGGCUUAAGAAUUUUCUUUGCCUGGACACAGUUCUGUGAGGUCUCCGGAGGUGUGGCUCUUGAGCGUUUUAUAGAUGUGGUAAAGUGACCUUCCCCAAACUUGAGUGGCUUCGUGUUUUUGAUUGUUUACCUAAUCUCAUUGAUGUUGAGUAUAUGCCCAGGAGUUUGUUUAUUUAUUUAUUUGCUUUUUAGGGCCACACCUUUGGAAGUUCCUGGGCUGGGGGCCGAAUGGGAGCUGCCGUGACCCGCC
This 690-nucleotide long non-coding RNA is filed under the name Sus scrofa (pig). Its description in RNAcentral is "lncRNA (ENSSSCG00060072327.1)". Lineage: Eukaryota; Metazoa; Chordata; Mammalia; Artiodactyla; Suidae. The record is from RNAcentral.